RNAcentral lists this small RNA (130 nucleotides) under Klebsiella oxytoca. Its description in RNAcentral is "istR Hfq binding RNA". It matches the Rfam family "istR Hfq binding RNA". Lineage: Bacteria; Pseudomonadati; Pseudomonadota; Gammaproteobacteria; Enterobacterales; Enterobacteriaceae. The record is from RNAcentral.
CAAAAACCGUCGUGAAAAUUGCGCCUUCUUCCCCGAUCGCGUAUACUUUUUUCGUUGACGUAAUACAGUGUGCUUGCGGCCACCAACCGUAAAACACCGAGCAGAAAACCUCGCCGCGGCGGGGUUUUUU